GCCUUGGUGGUGUAGUGGUAGAGCACGCGUCCCCGAAUAGGACGAAACGCGGGUUCGAUUCCAGCCUGUUGAGGCC
Non-coding RNA from Parelaphostrongylus tenuis, 76 nucleotides. The record is from the annotation of a GenBank genome assembly. NCBI's taxonomy places the organism in Eukaryota, Metazoa, Nematoda, Chromadorea, Rhabditida, Metastrongylidae.